Caretta caretta (loggerhead turtle) is the source of this 2452-nucleotide long non-coding RNA. RefSeq lists it as uncharacterized. NCBI's taxonomy places the organism in Eukaryota, Metazoa, Chordata, Testudines, Cheloniidae. The record is from RefSeq and is a predicted model, not a curated record.
UAUACUUUAUGGGCUUGAUUCUGAUCCUAUCAAGGCCAACUGAAAUUUUGCCACUAACCUCUAUGGAAACAGAACUUGGUUCUGUGUGUUUUUCUUUUCAGGGAAGUUCAACGCAGCCUGUUUUAAAAAAAAAUUUUAAGUAAGCAAGCCUAUGCCAGUAAUCCAGUGCUCACAACUGACCCUGGAAUGACAAACCAGGAUGCACACACAGCCUAGUAAUACCGAGCAAUCAAACUAGGAUAAGCCCUGCUCACAAGUAACCCUACAGCAACAAAGACGUAUGUGAAAUGGUGGAAAAGGCAUUUGGCAUUGAAACAUUUCAAUUUCAAGCUUCCAGGAUAACGUGAAAUAAUAUGUAUAAUCCGAAGUGACUUGGCAACGCCCUUUUACAAACACUGGGUUGCAUCCAGAAAAGCUGUAUUUUUAUUGUUAAACCAAAAAAGGAGAAAGCUUGGCAGCUGUUCCAUUUCACGGCCAAAGAGAAAGGCAUCUAGCUGGUCUUACCUCUUACUACAAGAGCAGAAACUACAAGCAAGCCCUCCAAAAAAACAACCACCUAGCUCCUUACAAAGGAAAGUUUGUUAGCAGCUGCCUAAUCAAGUAACUUCAUCUUACCUUGGAGUGGAAUUUCGUAAGACUGCUCUCUCAACAUUGUUUCUCGUGAAGAUUUGCAAUCAAUGUUCCAGGCUUCCGCCCACCCUCAGCUAAGAUGCAUGGAUUCUAAUUGAAAUGUACAAGGUGCCAGUCACUGCCUGAAUCUAGCCACCUUAAGGUGCACAAACAUUUAGAAGCAAGAGACAUUGUAAGAACAUGCUGGAACCUGUCAAAGGACUUGGCCUCCAGUGCGGCAGCUAGGGAUGAGCACCCGGCACUGGCCACUAUCAGAAGACAGAAUACUGCGCUAGAUGCACCUUUGGGGCUGAUCUACACUACGUCGUUAGAUCAACAUUCUCCACAUUAAGUCAAACGUAUAAUGUGCUUGACUACACUACAGAGCCCUUCCCGCCGACCUAAAGGGCUUUUAAAAUCGACGCCUAUACUCCACCUCAACAAGAGGAGUAGCGCUAGAUUCCACCUUCCAGGGUCGAAUUAGGGGUAGUGCAGACACAGCACAGCGUAUUUUGACUUGUUUGGCCUCUGGGAGGUGUCCCAAAGUGCUCCAAUGUGUCCGCUCUGGACAGCGCUUUCAACUCCACUGCACUUCAGCCAGGUAAACAGGAAAAGCCCUGGGAACUUUUGAAUUUCAUUUCCUGUUUGAUCAGCGUGGAGAGUUCACCACCACAGCUGACCAUGGCUGCCCAGGUACGCAAACGCACUCCAGCGUGGAGCAUACAGGAGACACUGAAUCUGAUCGCUGUGUGGGGAGAAGAGUCUGUGCAGACAGAGCUCUGAACCAGCAGAAGAAAUGCUGACAUCGAUGCCAAAAUCGCACAGGGCACGGGGGGGAAAAGGCUACCCCAAGGACACACAGCAGAGCCGUGUAAAAAUAACAUUUCAGGCAAGCGUACCAGAAGACAAGGGAGGUGAACAGUCACUCUGGCGCUGAGCCACAAACACGCCGUUUCUAUGAGCGGCUGCAUGCGAUUCUAGGCGGGGACCCCACCAGUAUCCCAACACUCUCUGUAGAAACCUCCCAGGCGACCUCGGGCAACAAUGAGGAGGAUAUUGUUGAUGAUGAUGAGGAGGAGGAGGAGAAUGCACAGCAAGCAAGCAGAGGAUCCAUUCUCCCCAACAGCCAGGACCUUUUCCUAAUUCUGGAGCCAAACCCCGCCCAGGACCCACUGGUGCGGGACUGUGAUGGCAGGGAAGGCACCUCUGCUGCAACAUUUUCUCUGGGUGCUUUCCUCCACUCCAGCACAAAGGCUGUCCCAGAUUAGAAGGCGAAAAAAGAGGACAAGGGAAGACGUUCUGUGAUUUGAUGCAUUCCUCUGAGGCUGACAGGGCCCAGCUGCAUGCAUGGAGGCUCACACUCUCAGAGAGCAUGCACGUCGACCAAGAGGGCAGGAAAGCAAGCAGGGAAGAAGAGCGUAACACGUAAGAGGAGAUGUUGUGGCUUAUGGGGGAGCAAACAGACAUGUUGAGGCAUCUGGUUGAGGUGCAGGAAAGGCAGCUAGACCUUAGAGUCCCGCUGCACCCAAUGAUGAACCAGCUGCCCUCCUCCCCAAGUUCCAUAUCCUCCUCUCCCAGACGUCCUAGAAUGCGGCGGGGAGGGGGGGUUCGUGAGGAGGAGGUGAGAGAGGAAGCUCCGUUAUCCCUUGAACUCAACACCAGGGGAUAGUUCAUGGAGCAGAAAGUGGUCAUUCCCACGGCUUUGAUUGCUAGACAGUGCAGUUGUAAUAAGCUAUGUGUCCCUACCCCUCCCUCCCUGUGUUAUCAGGCCCUUACCUGGUUAUCACUAUUCAUUGCUGUCUCUGUUCAGUGGUUGUUAGCAUAAUAAAAAUGCAUGAAUUGA